UAUAAAGUUCGCCGAAUGGCAUUUGUCGCA
RNAcentral lists this non-coding RNA (30 nucleotides) under Rattus norvegicus (Norway rat). Lineage: Eukaryota; Metazoa; Chordata; Mammalia; Rodentia; Muridae. The record is from RNAcentral.